RNAcentral lists this ribosomal RNA (483 nucleotides) under Trichoderma lixii. RNAcentral describes it as "eukaryotic LSU rRNA". The stretch from base 175 to 328 matches the Rfam family "5.8S ribosomal RNA". The record is from RNAcentral. Lineage: Eukaryota; Fungi; Ascomycota; Sordariomycetes; Hypocreales; Hypocreaceae.
ACGUUACCAAACUGUUGCCUCGGCGGGAUCUCUGCCCCGGGUGCGUCGCAGCCCCGGACCAAGGCGCCCGCCGGAGGACCAACCCUAAAACUCUUAUUGUAUACCCCCUCGCGGGUUUUUUUAUAAUCUGAGCCUUUCUCGGCGCCUCUCGUAGGCGUUUCGAAAAUGAAUCAAAACUUUCAACAACGGAUCUCUUGGUUCUGGCAUCGAUGAAGAACGCAGCGAAAUGCGAUAAGUAAUGUGAAUUGCAGAAUUCAGUGAAUCAUCGAAUCUUUGAACGCACAUUGCGCCCGCCAGUAUUCUGGCGGGCAUGCCUGUCCGAGCGUCAUUUCAACCCUCGAACCCCUCCGGGGGGUCGGCGUUGGGGAUCGGCCCUCCCUUAGCGGGUGGCCGUCUCCGAAAUACAGUGGCGGUCUCGCCGCAGCCUCUCCUGCGCAGUAGUUUGCACACUCGCAUCGGGAGCGCGGCGCGUCCACAGCCGUU